RNAcentral lists this transfer RNA (83 nucleotides) under bacterium. RNAcentral's name for it is "tRNA-Leu". It matches the Rfam family "tRNA". From Rfam's summary of the family: Transfer RNA (tRNA) molecules are approximately 80 nucleotides in length. The record is from RNAcentral.
GCCGGUGUGGCGGAAUGGUAGACGCGCUAGUCUUAGGAACUAGUGUCCGUUAGGGCGUGGGGGUUCGAGUCCCUCCACCGGCA